GGGGCGGACGCAGGAUCAUUAUUAGAUGGGGGCACAUGACAUUUGUUUCAUUAUGUCUACUUUUAGGGUUAAAUGGCAUUUCUUAAACUGGUACUAAUUAUCGAAGGAAAAAUAAAAAUUAGAUGGGGGCACCAUUCUCUACGAAGGGUGACUCGGUAGCUAACAAUUAUUUUCUAAAAUCUUAGUGAUCCGUUUUCAAUUACUGGAAGACGGUACAAGGUUUUAACAUAAUAAAAAAGAUACUGGUUAAUACUUAAUAAUAAACCUUUAAUUAGAUUAGUCAUAAAUUUUUAUUUAGUUGGCUUUAUUUUGAAACACUGGAAAAAUCUUACUUGGAUUUAACUAAAACAAAACAUAACCAAAGCUUUGAAGAGAUCCGCGUGGUUUGGCAGAUUCGAAGAUUUUUAAAAUUAGAGAAAUGAAUUUAGUAUAUUGCUCCAUAAAUAAAUGAUGAAAACUUAAUUAACUUCCAUACAAACACAGCUCGCCGUAAGUUUAACUUCUGCACAUAUAUCCUCGAUCUCCACGCACGUGUCUAUCGUAAAUAACAUCCCCACAGCUUAAUCCACGCACACGUGUGUUAUAGAUAGAGAUAGAUACGCAUACGUCAUCUCUUCUGCGGAAAGCAAAAAAAGAAAGUACUUAGACAUCUACUUUUUUUUUCUGGUACUUUUCUCCUUUUCCCAUAAGGAAUGAACAGAUGCUUCGAAUCAUAGCACUUACAGAUAUCUACUUUUUUUUCUUGUACUUUUCCCCUUUUCCCAUAAGGAAUGAACAGAUGCUUCGGAUCAUAGCAUAGGUUUGAAGUUAUUUUUACUUACAGUACUUAACUGUUUCAUAUAAAUAAGUACAGAUACUGUUUCUGUAUUAGAAAUAACUCAAUAAGUACUAGUAUUUCUUUGACCACAAAAUACAGACACUGUUUCUCUUUCUGUAACAUCCGAUAAUAUAUCUACGGAGCUGAUAUUUUCUGCUCUGGUUUGUGUCUUAUAAAAUUUGAAAUAUUUGGAGUUGAACAAUACGUUGGAGUUAAUUUGUGUGAAAUGAUAAUUAAUAUAAUGACUGAGAACUUCAACAAAUAUCUCAAAGUCAGACUAUGAUUUAAAUUUGAUAUUAUUUUAAAAUCCAACUAUGAUGAUGCAGAUGAAUAUAUAUAUAUAUAUUGUAAAUUAAGUCUUUUAGCUGUUUUUGGCAGAUGAAAGAUUAUCUUGUCAGAUUUUAUAAUUCCCAAAGCAUAAGUUAGAAUAUGAUAUUAUUUAUGGAUGAAGACAUGCUGUAUACUGAUAAACACGUGGGAGGGUUCAAGCUUAUCAUUUUUCAGCAGCAAAAUGAUUGGUGAAAAAGAUGAUUUAAUUCAACAAGAAAACAAUUCUUCAAAAUAGCAAACGACUAGUAUUAUUGCCCCGUGCUAAGCACGGAUAUAAUUUUUGCUUGCUUUUAAAUUAUUUAAAAAAUAAAAUUGUAAUGUUUUUAAAUCAACAUUUAACUUAGUUUAAACAAAUUUUCUGAAGUUAGGUAACACUUAGAAAUAUCAUAUUUGCUAUAUUCAGUUUUAUAUGUAUUUGUUUUAAAAAUAAAUCCUCUUUAAAAUAAAUUUCUUGGAAUUGAUAUAAAAAACAUGAAACUAAACAUGCAAACAAAAUAGUCAAAUAUAAUAGACUUACAAAAAUCUGUAAAAAAUUUUGUCAAGCAAAAAAUCUGUAAAAAUAUGCUAUGUUACGUUAAGAAAACAGAUUUGUUAAAUAGUCAAACUAUAACAAACAAAUUUGUAUACCUAAACUGCAUCAUCGUAGUUAUUGAUAUUUUUCCCUGUGUGCACUCGCAUCACAUCAUUAUUAUUAGCCAUGAGAUUUGAUUUCAAAGCUACAAAAACAAAAUAGAAAUUCUUAAAACGUAAUAUAUCAGAGAAUAACAGCAAAAAAAAAAUCAGAGAAUAACUAAAGAUAAAAGACACUACUUGUUUAACGUUCUGCUUGUGUUUAUGUUUUUUGCAGAAAAGGCUCUUCAGUUUUAUUUUCUUUGUCUUUUUUUCUCUUUUCUUUUCAUUUCUGUUUUUCUUGGAUGCAAAAGAAAUAUAAGUAGUUUCACAAAGAUAAGAUAGAUAAAAAAAAAUAUUUGUAUAUACCCAUUUAAUUUGUAGAUAGCAGAGUUGAGAUGCUUAUGGUUACGUUCUUUUGAACAAAGCUUAUGAUUAUGUUUUUGCUGAUAGAGCUCGUUCUUUUAUUGAAAAAUUACACUUUACAACAUAAACACAGUCAUGUACCUGAAAUAAAUAAUCAAGAUUAUUAAUUGAGAAUAAGAGGAAACUGGAUCUAAACUAAGAGAAAACAUUUAGAAUGAGGAGUAAUCAUUACUUGUAUGGAAUGUUUUUGAUCAGUGGAAGAAAUCAACAGCAGGAAAAAAACUGAUGAAAGAGAAAGUACGUAACACUAAAUAAGAUAGAAAGGUAAACGAAAAAACAGUUACACUACGUGAUCUUUAUUUUGUAAGUGGAGGUGAUAAUGUGAGAAAAUUUAGGAAUCUAGGUAUUUUUUAAAUUAAUUUUUGUACGUGGAGUUUCAAAAUUAAUUUUUAAUCAGUGUUAUUUGUUUUAUUUUUGUAAAUCAUUGCUUUGCCAAGUGUUAACUUUUGAUUAGCCAAGUGACUUGUGCUUUAAUAUAUAAGAGAUUGCUAUUUUGCGUUCCUUCUUGGGGAUUUCGGUUGGACCUUCUAUGGGCUGUGUUUUUUUUUUGAUGUGUUAGGUGUUUUAUGUGGGCUGCUUGUUGGCUUGUUGGAUUGCUGUGGAUUUUGUUUAGUUGUUUGGGCCUUAUAUAGCUUACCUUUGUAUGAUGCUUUGUUUAAUAUUUAAUUGAUGGCAAAAAAAAAACAUACGAUUGCAUAAAAAGAAAUUCAUGUAUAUUUAUUUGUUUCUCGCUAAAUGUCAAAUCAAAAGUGACAAAAGGAAGUGAAAAAAAAAAUCAAUGAUGGACUGAUAUCAACGUAGCGACCAUGUGACAAGUUUCCUGUGACAACUCGUUCCACUUACUUGAAACCCAGCUCACAUUUUUGCAGUACCGAUUCUAACUUUUCACAUGUAAAUUCUCACUAACUUUUCUAUGUAGGUUAUUAAUGUGUUUAGCGUUACUCGAACUCAAGACUUCACUCUUUAACCUAUGACAACUCGUUCCAUUUACUUGAAACCCGGCUCACAUUUUUGCAGUACCGAUUCUAACUUUUCACAUGUAAAUUCUCACUAACUUCUCCAUGUAGGUUAUUAAUGUGUUUAGCGUUACUCGAACUCAAGACUUCACUAUUUAACAACACUCUCACAUGACGAGUUGUCAUCAAUUGACAUGCAGAACUCAAUUGGUGACAACUCGUCAUGCUCACUCGAAAUUUGACUCACAGCUCAAUUGGUGAAAAAUCGUCAUAUGAGAGUGUUGUUAAGAGGUAAAGUCUUGGGUUCGAGUAGCGCUAAGCGCAUCAAUAACCUAUAUGGAAGAGUUAGUGAAGGUUCACAUGUGAAGAGUUAGGUCGGUGUCCUGGAAGACUGUGAAUCAGGUUCUGAGUGAGUGUGAUGGAUUGUCACAUCCUCCCUGUCAAAUAAUUAAUACACAAGUCCACUAAAAAUGUGGCUGAUAACUAAAAAAGAGUGAGAAGAAAAAAGAAGAAGAAGAGAAGCAGACUUACUCUGACAAGAUAAAAAUUUGUCUCAUAAGGCGAAUCAUGAUCAGUGAGAAAGCUUUCAUUACAAAGUCAAGUGAGCCCCAAAUCUCAAGGACAACCCCUUUUGACCCAUGCUCCAUAAUGGCAAAAUUUGACGUUGUUAUCAGUUUGGUCUGAAAGAGAAACAUGGAUUGUAGGCAAUGAUUGGAUUCAACCAGCAAUUUGAUAAAAUGAACACCGGUAUAGUAGUCCAUCAAGUGUGGAAGAGAAAGAGUAGCUGCAUCUUCCACACAACUGACACAAGAAUAAUUUUGGCAUCUCUGAAAUUAAAAACGGGGUUUUCAUUAGUAUUAAAAAAAGUCAGAAAAAUCAAAUAAAAAAAUAAAAAAAUGAGUGAAGCUAUAUACCUCAAAAGCUGAAAUGAUUACAAUGCUCUUUUUUACUUCUUCCAUGUUCUCAAUCUCGGAUGAGUGUAUCAAUAAGAUAGCUUUUGUUUUUUACCUUGAUAGACUCAAUGGUCUGUGAUUCCUCCCAAUCAGAUAUUUCACUCUAGAGUCUGGACACAAAAUGCAGAGAUUCACGUUUCUGAACUCAUACAAAGCAUACUUGGGCGAUGGUUCACUCUGGCGUCUGGACACAAUACUUUUAGUGAUAAUAUCAAUGUUUUGUAACAUAAUAAUAAAAAGUAGGCAAUGAGUUUACCUCGAAUCUAGAAUCGAAACGGUCAGGAAGUCAUAAUCAUGUUCAAAAUGGCGAUGGUUCACCUCUAUCGACUCUUUCAUCUCUAAUGUUGAUGUUAUUUACUUUCUUCUUAAAAAAUUUAUGUCUCAUCCUCUUGUGAAACAAUUUCAGUGUCACAAAAUUAAACUAGCUAAAAAUUAACCUCAAUUGUGAAGCUCUCAAACUUAUUGUAAUGGUCUUCUGUGACAUAUGUUUGAAGAUUUCGAUGUGAAGAUUUUCUAAUACGUACCUUCACUUUCCAAAAAUACUAUUUCCAACUGUUUAGCAUGUCCCGAAAUUUGUGGACAUAAAAACAAUAUCAAUAUUAAUCAAUGUAAGAAAUAAACUAAUUAAACUAACCUCAAUUUGGAACCUCCAAAAUGUAUUUUUGAUGUUAUUCGUGACCAUAUGUACAUACACUUUUAUCUUGGAUGAAAAGACAUUUUUUUGAUAAUUUCUGUUACUUUCCAAGAAAGUUAUGUAGAGUAUCAAAUGAUCUCAAAGCAUCACAAUGAACGAUUGUAAUAGGUUUUAAGAUAAAAAAAAAUAACAAAGUAGAAUUCAUUUGGAUGCAACAUCAUGCAUAAUUGACCAAAUUAUGUACUAUCAUUGCUUGUAAAAGGUUUAGGAAAGAGACCAAAUAGAAAUUUGUGAACUAAUUAGUUGAAAUCUGAUAUAAUCGAUAAAUGAAUCUAGCUUCUCAAAACUUUAAAGUUGAAAAUAAUUGAACAUAACACCUAAAACCAUCAUUUGUAGUAAAGAUAUUAGUAGAAAUAUGUGAAGUUAUUAUAUGGUUUUUAAUGAGAAGAAAAGGUUUUUUAGCUAGACUUUGGAUUUUCCCAAGCUAUUAUGCGUUUGAAAACACAGUGGAAAUCGAUAGAAAAAUCAAUCAAAGUUUAUGUCAAAAUUGUUAAGAUUAAUAAAUGAUCUAGAACCCCAAAAGAUCAGAAUUUGAUCUUAAGUUAAAGUAAUUAUAAUAAGUUUUCUCCAGUGUUCAUGAGUUCAUCUGCUUAUAUAUCUCAAAUAAGGAUAAAAGCAUAGAACUUAAAAAAACAUAUUAACUUCAUAUUUUGUUAUAUGUUAUUGGAGAUAAAUUGGAUAGAAAGAUGUAUAUGUUAAUCAAAAUUGUAUAUGUUAAUCAAAACUGGUAAAUGUAUACUUGAAUGGUAAAUGUAUAUGAUUGUUGAUAAAGAUGAUCCAAUUCAAUAAGUAAACACCUUUAUAGCUGCAAUUCUUCAAAAUGAUUAAUAAUAACAUGCUGAGUUGAGCAUUGUUUGCUUCUAGAAGAACCUUAAGCGAUCUAACCAGAGUUACCCCUCCAAAUUUGGUCAAUUACGGGUCUAUGAAUGGUAGAUUCUUUUAAUUUUCUGAAUUCUUUAGAGCACAAAGUUCCAUAAUAAUAGUUAACUAAUUGAACGAUCUCAGUGGACCCAAUGAUUUGGGGGUGUAUUCUUGUGUUCUGUAGGUUUGAACGGCAGUGCCGUCCCAAACUUUUUAGAGGCCUAAAGUCUGUAAAAAAAUGUGGCCCUAUAAUGAGAUGCUUAUCUAAAAUUACCAAAAACAUGAUUUAAAAUAUUGGGAGGUGUCAUAGGGCAUUUUUGAACAGGAGCUAAAGAAGUCAAUUUCCACUUGGUUAACCAUCUAAGCUAUAAACAAAUAUUACAUAUUGUGGUCCAAAUUUUACUUUUAUUUGAUGUGGCCUGAAACCAAUGCUUUACCAGCUUUAGUAAAGGGACGGGCCCGUUGAACGGUAUUGCAAUAACUUUGAACGGUUCUUACUAUUUUUCCCUUUUGAAGUCCUCUCCAAACUGUAAAUAAAACAAAGAAGGAUUAUCAAGACCCUUGUUUUGAAGUUCCCUUUUAAAGUCCUCCCCAAACUGUAAAUAAAAAAGAAAUCAUAGGUAUAUUAACAAAGAAGGAUUAUCAAGACCCUUUAAAACAUGCCCUUUUUCCAAAAAAAAAAAAGACCCUUUAAAACAAUUUUGAUGUAUAGAUCGUGGACACCAGAGACUAUAUGUUUAUUUUAUCAAGGCUAAUUACCGUUGAGCGUACGUAACGAGUGGUAAAAUGCUUGUGUGGUGGUCUAACGCCUUGACGCAUUCUUCACGAGUCAUGCAGAGUAUAGCACGCAUCUCUCUAUCAUGUGUUAUUGAACCUAACAAAACCAACCACUAAUGGUGAGAAUUAUUACACCGAACAAAAGAUGCAUAAACUAUAUAUAUUGUAAAUGUAAUCAAAAUAUCAUACUCAUCAUCGGUAUAGGAAGAGUUGGGCAUAUACUUGAAAAAGUUACAAUUAGUACACUAGUUGGGAAAAAUCUGUAAAAUAACCAAAAUAUUCUUCAAAUUCGAAAACGAUGAUCAAUGAUGGAGAAAAAAGUUAUUUGGCAAUACCAGUCAAAGAUCCUGGAAAAUCCUCCUUGUGGGAAGAGCAUCCUUUGUGGAGGAUAAAGACCAAGGAUUUUUUCGUGACCGCUUCCACAAGUUUAUACGACGAUGAAAACACGUACAAUCAUCCGUAUGAAGGGAAGGUAUCCAUGAAAACUUUAUUUUAGUUUUUCUCCUUCAGAAUUCUAAGUAAGUGAGAGUAUGCGAGAGAAUGAGAAGAAAAUUCUAAGAGGCACGACUUAGUCAGAAAGAUAGAUAUAAAAAAAAUCAUAUGCCUCCUCCGACCAUGGAGUGCAAUAAUACUCUUCUUUUCUUUACCGAAAUUAGAAAUUACAAAUAUUUUUUCCUUCUUAAAAUUUCCUGAUUUAAAACAAACUAAACAAAAUCAAACACGUUUAGUUCCUUGGUUGCUGCUCUUGCCCAUCUCAAGCCCAUUCCCAUACUCACCAUCCUCCACAAACCUUGACCAAUACCAAUGUGACCUCCACACUUGUCCCAUUUCCUCUAUCGGAAUCCCUUUCGUCUCCGGCAAGAAUAUGUAGACGAAGAUCGACAUCACCACAACGAAGAAGGCAAACACAAGGAAUAAACCGAACUUCAAAUGGCAAAGCAUCGUCAGGAAGAUCUGCGCGAUUAUAAACGUGAAGAUCAUGUUCACUGACACCGUGAUACUCUGAGCGGCUGACCUUAUCUCCAACGGGAAGAUCUCACUAGGUACUAACCACCCUAGCGGACCCCAUGACCACGCGAAACCCGCCACAUAGAUGCAUAUAAAUGUUACAACCACUAUAGCAUACCACUUUGGUAGCUCACCAGGGGUCCCGUCUACCCCAAACUUGGCCCCGAUGCAUGCAGCAACCACAGCCUAUAAUCACAUAAGACAAAACGAACACCAUAUUUUCAUUAGUUUAAUGGAUAGAGACUAGUGCAUGCAAAUAGUUUUGAAAUCAUAUACAUGAGGACUAAAUCAUGAUAUAUUAACGUUUCUAUCUAAUUAUAAUUGAUAUCUAGACAUUCAUUUACGUCAUCAUGUAUUCGUAUAUUAAUGUUCUUACCCAAUAAAAUCACUCUCUUGGCACAUAUAAAGUCAAGUAUAAGUUCAUAUCAUGAUAUCAAACGGUUUAUAUCCAAUUAUGUUUAUAUAUGUUUAUAGAUCAUGACUUCAUAUGAUAAGUCAAAUAUGUUAAUGUCUGAUUAAAUUAAGAAAGUAGAUAUAUGUGUUUCCUUACCUGGCAUAUUAGCAUUUGUGUACCGCCUUCGAGGAAUAGAAACCUACGUCCCCACUUGUCAACACCGUAGAUCGACACAAGCGUGGCGGCGACGUUAACCGAGCCAGUUACCACGGCGGACAUGAGAGACGCAUCGGUCGUGAAACCAAUGGUGUUGAACAAAACGGGAGCGUAAAACAUAAUCACAUUGAUUCCGGUGAGCUGCUGAAAGAAGGGAAUCAUAAUGGCCAUGGUGAGAUGCGGCCGGUAUUUACGGCGGAGGAGGUUUUUCCACGGAUGCUCUAUCGACUGAGACUCUUUACUAGCUGCUACUAAAUCGUCAAACUCUUGGCUGACGUCAUCGACGCCACGGAUUCUUCUGAGCUUGGUUUUCGCCUCCUCGUGCUGGCCUCGCUCGAUCAUUGAGUUAGGAGUGUCAGGGAGGACCAAGGAGCCGAGUGUUAUGAUAAGAGCAGGGACCACUGCACCGCCUAGACUGAGCCGCCAUCCCCAGCCGCCUUUGAUUUUGGCAAAGAAGUAGUUGAGUACUUCGGCUACUAGGAUUCCGAUAGUGAUCGAAAGCUGGAAGCCGAUGUUUAGCGCUCCUCUAUAUUUGUAUGGAGCCAUUUCAGAUAGGUAAAGUGGCACAGACUGUAAAUAAAAAAUUAUAACAUGUAAACAUGUAGGUUAGUAACGUUAAUAUGUUAUAACCUCAAAUAAAUACGGUCCGAAUAUAUGACCUUUUCUAACUAAAGAUUCCUAUCAAUGAGUGAUCAAAAGUUACAUUAUACGAUAUGACGUCAAAAACAAUAUAUUAACUGAUUAAAUCGUCUAAAAUAAGGGGAAAGAGACGUCACGGAUUAAAAGAACAGACCAUGUGCAGUUGUGGAUAUUCAGCCGAGAACAAAUCAAUAAGAAAUUAAGUAAUUGUUGUAUCAUAUAAUAAAAUGUGGAUAGUAAUGAACGUCGUUGUAAACUGAUAGUAAAAGCAAGAGAAAAAUAAUAAUGUCAACUUGACCUAAUUAUUUGAUGAUUAUGUUCAAUGGAAGUGGUUGGUCCAUGACUUUUGUAAAACCAAGGUACAUUUAUGGCGAAAUAAAUAUAAGUUUCAGUUCACUGAAUUUUAUAAGAUACCACGUAGAAAGUUUAUCCAAUUUGAUUUUUUCUACUGGUGACUUAAAUAUGAAAAUGAAAAAUUUAUAAUUUUACUAUUAUGGUUAGUAAUAAUAGUUAAAAUCAUUAUAAUUGAAGUUUAUGGUUAUUAGUGACGGACCUGAUUAGCGAAACCGAUACCAAAACCAAGCAAGAUACGGCCGACGAUGAGCAUCCAAACGUGUUUAGCAAAGCCAUUGAUAAGAGCUCCGGCACAGAUCGACAUCACCACAACGAAGAAGGCAAACACAAGGAAUAAACCGAACUUCAAAUGGCAAAGCAUCGUCAGGAAGAUCUGCGCGAUUAUAAACGUGAAGAUCAUGUUCACUGACACCGUGAUACUCUGAGCGGCUGACCUUAUCUCCAACGGGAAGAUCUCACUAGGUACUAACCACCCUAGCGGACCCCAUGACCACGCGAAACCCGCCACAUAGAUGCAUAUAAAUGUUACAACCACUAUAGCAUACCACUUUGGUAGCUCACCAGGGGUCCCGUCUACCCCAAAC
This 9618-nucleotide long non-coding RNA is filed under the name Brassica napus (rape). RNAcentral describes it as "long non-coding RNA (BNAP_LNC008466)". Lineage: Eukaryota; Viridiplantae; Streptophyta; Magnoliopsida; Brassicales; Brassicaceae. The record is from RNAcentral.